This 5058-nucleotide long non-coding RNA is filed under the name Malus domestica (apple). RNAcentral's name for it is "long non-coding RNA (MDOM_LNC004894)". Lineage: Eukaryota; Viridiplantae; Streptophyta; Magnoliopsida; Rosales; Rosaceae. The record is from RNAcentral.
UGUCUUGUUAUGUGAAUUAUCGAUAAUGUGACAUGUGAUUAAGCAACUUUGAGCUCAUAAACCUGCACCUAGGGUGAUUGUGAUUUAUCCAGAGAUGUGGCACAUGCCUAUUUAUAAUGUCACCUCCCGCACCAUAUGAGACAUUGGAUCCAAUUUAGGUGCACAGUCUUGUUGUAGAGAUCAUCAUAGGUGGUUCCGACUCGUAGGUGACUAGCGAUUUAUGGCCCAGCUAUCAUGAGAGCGUAGUAUUGAGCAUAAUUAUAUUACACCCAGUCUUGUCGUACAGACCAUCAUAGGUGGUUCCGACUUGUAGGUGACUAGCGAUUUAUUGCCCAGCUAUCAUGAGAGCGUAGUAUUGAGCAUAAUUAUAUUACACCCAGUCUUGUCGUACAUACCAUUUUAGUGGUUCUGACUUAUGUGCAGUGUAGUGCCGUAUAGGUCAUUGUAGUGACUCCGGCUAUAUUGAAUAAUGAGCUAUGAAUUCAUCCGUACAGACUUCUACAGGGGUUCCGACUAAUAUGUUAUUUUCCAUGAAUUUAUUCUCACCUGAGUUACUUAUUCUAUUUUUAUUUUUUGGCAUGGCAUACUUAUGAAUAUGAUUAUGAGAAGCAUGAUUUGAAUUGAGAUAUUUACAUAUAUAUAUAUUUAUGCAUAUGUUUAUAUUGUAUUUAUGAGAAAAUUAUACAUGUUUUACGGCGAUGGGUUAGAGCAUUUUAAUGAUGAAAUGGUUUUGAAAAACAUUUGUUUUUACCCACUCACAUUUUCUGUUUUGGGCCCCUCUAGGUUUUAGGUAGACUUUUUGUUGGUGGCGUACGAGGAUUUCGGCGGUUCUGACAUAAUAAAAUAUUGUAGGACAUCUUCUGGUACUGUAUAAUGAGUACUUGUCCUACUGGACUGCACCUAGACUUUCUAUGCUCUGAUUAGGAGUAUUUACCUUUGUAUCUCACUCCUAACACUUCCUGUUUAUUAGUGCACUUUAGUAGCUUUCGGUUUUUAUUUAUUUGUAUAUUUCUUAUCCUUAUUGCUUCUGCACUGUGCACAUGGCAACGUCACCCUCACGUGACGGCCAACAUGCCUUGAUCUUAGUCGGGGUGUGUCAGUUUGGUAUCAGAGCCUAGGUUUAGCAGUCCUGUAUAUCUUGUGAAUGAUCUAAUCAUUGUGAUGUCUUCUGUCAGAACUAUGCCGCCUUGUAGAGAACCACGUCAUUCAGCUGAGCCUAGUUUCCUUGAUAUUGCUCAAUUAGGGGAAGCUAUAGCUAAUGCCAUUCAGUCUUCUCUUUGUCCUCCUCAGAGGACACCUUUUGAGACUGUGUACAAUCUGAAGCUGAAUCACUUUAUGGGAAAUGAAUGACAUGAAGGAGCGGAGAAGUGGCUUAAUUAUGUUGAGAAGACUUUCCUUGUGAUGCAGAGUCAGGGAAACCUUUCUCCUGAUAGGUGGGUCGAGACGACUACCUGGUUUUUAGGUCCGGAGCCUGCAUCCUGGUGGAGACAGGAGUCAUAUCAGAUGCCACCAGAGGUAGUAGCCGAUUGGGAAGUGUUUAAACAGUUGUUUCGGAAAAGGUUUAUUCCUCCUGAGUACAUUGAUCGCAAGAAACAAGAGUUUACGCAUUUGAAGCAAGGAAAGAUGUCAGCGAAUGAGUAUUACAGGAAGUUCACUUAUUUGUCUCGAUAUGAUCUAGAGGUUGCAGUUAAUCUGGUUGAGAUGCUUCAUCGUUUCAGGUUGGGUACUAAGAAGAAAUGGCGUUCUAUAGCGACAUCGACUCCCUAUUCCACUUACCAGGAGUUUUAUAAGGUUUUACUACGGAUUGAGGACUUCGAGAACAUGCCAAGUGAAAGUGAAGAUGAAGAAGAAAAGAAUGUGAACCAAAAGCGAGAUGAUAAAGGUAAAGGUCAAGCAUCUCAGGGACCUUGUAAGACCCAGAACUUUAAGAGAAGUGGUGUUAGUUCUAGCUCUUCUAGUGGAGGUUUGAGCUCUAAUGUAUAGAGGAGAGGUGGUAGAUUCUUUGGAGGACCAAGAUUUCAGAGACAGAGGGACUUUGGUGGUUCAGAUGCUUUUUUAUGCCGCAUGUGUAAUAAUAGGCAUUUUGGAGAGUGUAGGAGAGGCAGCAGUGCAUGCUAUACUUAUGGACAGAUGGAGCAUAGGGCUACGCAUUGCCCUCAGAAUCAACAGAGGCCUCAAUAGCCUCCAUUACCACCACCUGCACCGACCCAACAAGCUUCAGGAUCUAGUGGUUAUGGCCAGUCUGGUCGUGGAGGUGUUUGUCAUUAUCAGGGCGAUGCCGUUCCUUAUGCUACAUGGCAGUAUCAGUACUCACAGGAUCCUUAUUAUCAGGGUGGUUACCCUCAGUAUCAGGGAGGUUCUAUGCCAUAUCAACCAUAUCAGCCAUAUUCAGCAGGUGGAUCCCAGUGGUAUCAGGGGGGACAGCCUCAGCAGGUAGAGAUUGCUGCUAGUAGUGCAGGAUCUUCAAGGCAGCCUGGUCAGCCAAGAUAGGGACGAGGUGUUCAUGCUAACAGAGGUCAUGGUGGACGACAGCAGAAUUAGGGACGUAUCCAUAACAUGACACUGCAAGAUGCUCACAACAUCCUGAUUUAAUCAUUGGUACGUUAAAUAUUCUUGGUCGUUUUGCUAGAGUAUUGAUUGACUGUGGUGCUACACAUUUUGUUAUUUCUCAUACAUUUGCUCAUUUGACGCAACCUCAUCCUACACCUCUAGGAUAUGAUUUAGAGUUUUCUAUGCCUAGAGGAGAUAGAUGUUUUGUGGAUCGGGUGUAUCCAUGAUGUCUAGUGAUGGUGGAUGAUGUUGUUAUGCCAGCUAAUCUUAUGUCGUUGGACAUUGUGGAUUUUGAUGUGAUUUUGGGCACUGAUUGGUUGCAUUAUAAUCGUGCCAAAAUAGAUUUUUAUGGUAAGACAGUCACGUUUCAUCGUCCUGGAUUACCUGAAGUUACAUUUGUAGGAGAACCGUGCGGGGUGAGGCAUGGUAUUAUUUCUGCCAUGAAAGCCAAAAGAUUAUUGUCGAAAGGUUGUCAGGGAUAUUUGGCUCAUGUAGUAUUGCAUGAUGAUGCUCCUAGUAGUGUGGAGGAUGUGCGUGUGGUCAGGCAUUUUCCGGAUGUGUUCCCUGAUGAUUUUCCUGAAUUUCCGCCAGAUAGAGAUGUGGAGUUCGUUAUUGAUUUGCUUCCAGGUAUGAAUCAUAUAUCUUUGACUCCUUAUAGAAUGGCUCCUGCUGAAUUAAGAGAAUUGAAAGUUCAAUUACAAGAAUUAAUGGAUAAAGGUUUUAUUCAGCCUAGUACUUCACCUUGGGGAGCUCCAGUCUUAUUUGUGAGGAAGAAAGAUGGAACCUUGAGGCUGUGUAUUGAUUACAAGCAAUUGAAUCGGUAACAAUUAAGAACUGUUAUCCGUUACCCCAUAUAGAUGAUUUGUUUGAUCAACUCUGAGGUGCCUGUGUAUUCUCUAAGAUUGACUUGAGGUCUGGUUACUACCAGUUGAAGAUUAGAAGUGAAGAUGUCCCUAAGAUCGCAUUCAGGACUCGAUAUGGUCAUUAUGAGUUUCUUGUGAUGCCAUUCGGGUUAACUAAUGCACCAGCAGCUUUUAUGGAUUUAAUGAAUCAAGUAUUCCAGCCGUAUUUGGACAGGUUUGCCAUUGUCUUUAUUGAUGACAUUUUGAUAUACUCUAAGACUAGAGCAAAGCAUGCUAGACAUCUUAAAUUGGUGUUGAAAUGUUUGAGGGAACACGAAUUAUCCCGAGGACGAGCAUAGUCAAGGGCGACUCAGGGGCUACGACCUUUCGACAUACCAGUGAGUGGGCUUUUGGGCUUUUGGUUUUAAGUAUAUACCACGAAUUAUCCCAGAAAAUGCAUUUAAAUGAUUUAUGCUUUGAAAAUGCCAUGCCUAUUCUUAAACAAUGAGUUGAAUUGUUUGCAUAUAUAUAUAUAUAUAUAUAUAUAUAUAUAUAUAUAUAAUUGUGGUGUUGUGGACGCUCAGGUAAGUACCAGGUGAGUUAUGUCUUGUUAUGUGAAUUAUCGAUAAUGUGACAUGUGAUUAAGCAACUUUAAGCUCAUAAACCUGCACCUAGGGUGAUUGUGAUUUAGCCAGAGAUGUGGCACAUGCCUAUUUAUAAUGUCACCUCCCGUACCAUAUGCUCACAUUUGAUCCAAUUUAGGUGCACAGUCUUGUCGUACAGACCAUCAUAGGUGGUUCCAACUCGUAGGUGACCAGUGAUUUAUGGCCCAGCUAUCAUGAGAGCGUAGUAUUGAGUAUAAUUAUAUUACACUCAGUCUUAUCGUACAGAUCAUCAUAGGUGGUUCCGACUUGUAGGUGACUAGCGAUUUAUCGCCCAACUAUCAUGAGAGCGUAGUAUUGAGCAUAAUUAUAUUACACCUAGUCUUGUCGUACAGACCCUUUUAGUAGUUCUGACUUAUGUGCAGUGUAGUGCUGUAUAGGUCAUUGUAGUGACUCAGGCUAGAUUAAAUAAUGAGCUAUGAAUUCAGCCGUACAGACUUCUACCAGGGUUCGGCUAAUAUGUUAUUUUCCAUGAAUUUAUUCUCACCUGAGUUACUUAUUAUAUUUUUAUGUUUGGCAUGGCAUACUUAUGAAUAUGAUUAUGAGAGGCAUGAUUUGAAUUGAGAUAUUUACAUAUAUAUAUUUAUGCAUAUGUUUAUAUUCUAUUUCUGAGAAAAUUAUACAUGUUUUACGGCGAGGGUUAGAGCAUUUUAAUGAUGAAAUGGUUUUGAAAAACAUUUGUUUUUGCCCACUCACAUUUUCUGUUUUGCACCCCUCCAGGUUUUAGGUAGACUUGCUGUUGGCGGCGUACGAGGAUUUCGGCGGUUCUGACAUAAUAAAAUAUUGUAGGACAUCUUAUGGUACUGUAUAAUGAGUACUUGUCCUACUGGACUGCACCUAGACUUUCUAUGCUCUGAUUAGGAAUAUCUACUCUUGUAUCUCAUUCCUAACACUUCAUGUUUAUUAGUGCACUUUAGUAGCUUUCGGUUUUUAUUUAUUCGUAUAUUUCUUAUCCUUAUUGCUUCCGCACUGUGCAUAUGGCUACGUCACCCUCACGUGACGGC